This 460-nucleotide ribosomal RNA is filed under the name uncultured bacterium. RNAcentral describes it as "partial 16S ribosomal RNA". It matches the Rfam family "Bacterial small subunit ribosomal RNA", at positions 338 to 795 of the family's 1533-position model. The record is from RNAcentral.
CCUACGGGUGGCAGCAGUGAGGAAUCUUGGUCAAUGGCCGGAAGGCUGAACCAGCCAUGCCGCGUGAAGGUCAGUGCCCUAUGGGCGUUAAACUUCUUUUGUGAGGGAGCAAGAAUGGUAACGUGUGGCCAGACGAGAGAACCGUUCGAUAAAGCAUCGGCUAACGCCGUGCCAGCAGCCGCGGUAAUACAAGGGAUGGAAGCGUUAUCAGGAGUGGUUGGGGUUAAAGGGUGAGUAGGCUGUGAGGUAAGUCAGCGGUGAAAUGCCACCGCUCAACGGGGUGAAGUGCCAUUGAUACUGCCUUGCUGGAGUGCUGAUGACGUGGGAGGAAUGUGUGGUGUAGCGGUGAAAUGCAUAGAUAUCACACAGAACACCGAUUGCGAAGGCGUCUCACGAGUCCGCGAUUGACGCUGAUGUACGAAAGCGUGGGUAUCAAACAGGAUUAGAUACCCGUGUAGUC